GGAAGCAACACACGGCAGUGUACAACUCUGAUCGCAAGUCGACAGGGUUGAACAGAACACAUGUUUUGCCAGUGCCCUCAUCUGUUGUCCUUCACCUCGCUGCUCUGAGGUCAGAGUCUUACACUCCCACCUCUUCAUCAUCUGACCAAAAAGUGAGCCAGACUCCUUUUUCCUGACGCUUUAUGGCGAACUUCCUGUGUCGGAUGGGACAAUAACAGGAAGAAGGAAACAGGUGUUCAUGCUGGAGGUGAAAGGUCGCAGGAAAUGGAUUCCCUCUCCCCGCAGGAAGAGGAUGGAGGGAGCGGUCAGGAAAACAAAAAGACGAGAAUGCAUCUGUGUUAAAUGCUUGCGUACUGUAUGUGUGUGUGUAUGUGUAUGUGUAUGUUUGUGUGUGUGUGUGUGUGUGUGUGAGUGUGUGUGUGUUCACCUUUCAGCGCUGUUCUCGGUGCAGUGGAACCACGUCACAGUGCUGCUGCAGAUUUCAGUCUGCAUAAAGGCAAGUGCGGGCCGGCCCGGGCCAAUAAUAGCCCCAGAAUAAUACCACAACAAAACCACGGGCCAUUAACAGCUGAUCUCACAGGGGACGCAUCUUCUGCUCACUUCCAAACACCGUAAUGCAACAGCAACAGUCAUGUUGUACUGUCAAUACGAAUGCAACAUUGAUCCAUGCCCCAGUGGGUUUACCAGAAAUACCAACAGCACAUGCUCCAACAGCCGGGCUCUUGACAAGAAGAAGAUAUUUUAUCCACAACCUGAAACAGACGGCUGCACCACACUGGACGCCAAUCCAUCUUUCAUAUGCACACGUGUCUGAUGGCGUGUAUGCCCAUGUUAUUGUGUGUGUGUGUGUGUGUGUGUGUGUGUCCAUUCCUCAGAUCAGAGGGAGCUUGUGUUGUUUUGGUUACAAAACGACAGCCAUGACUUUAAAUACUCUGAGGGUCUCCCAAGACUUCUUAACUUAGCAAUAGUCCACUGUCUGUGUGUGUGUGUGUGUGUGUGUGUGUGUAUCGCCAAAAGCCGCACAAACCCAUUUAGUCUCCUCUCUGACACAUGGUAUAAAUAACCUAAAGAACAACCAGGGAUUCGCCCUCGAGUUUUUAAGGGUCUAAAUAUCAGCAGCUAUUAGCUGCUUGUCGCCCUGCGGCUGCUCGCCUCGUCUAAAACAGUAUGACACAUCAUCUGUCAGUCAACCCCGGGGCUCAGAUGCCCAUUCUGCACAAGAUAUAAGAACUGAAUUGGAAAAAAAAUAUAAUAAAUUCAACGUUUUGGCAAUAACACACAUCAGCUCAUAGCUUGGCACAGUGACUUGAAACAGUUGAGAAACAACACGCCAUGACUCCAAAGGUAAUGUGCCGCAGUCUCCUCUGGUUGCCUAGCAACUGCUACAUGAGUUUGGUGUGGAAAAACUUCUCUGACCUCGAAACCCAUCUAACACCUUGGGGAUGAACUGCAACGCUGUAUACGAGCCAGGCUUCAUCACCCACCGCCAUGGACCGACCUCACUGCAACUCUUGUGGCUGAACAGAAUUUUAUAUUUAAUGUACAAACAAUAUUGUUAUCUACUUCAGCCCGAGUGUGCGUGAGUAAGUGUGUUUGUGUGUGUGUGUGUGUGUGUGUGUGUGUGUGCGUGCGUGUGCGUGUGCGUGCGUGUGCAUAAGUCAAAACUAUAAAGGCAUAUAGCUCCUUUCCAAUCGCUGCAGGAGAAAAAUAAACAACUGUAAUGCAACAGCAGCACU
Scophthalmus maximus (turbot) is the source of this 1736-nucleotide long non-coding RNA. RefSeq lists it as uncharacterized. The record is from RefSeq and is a predicted model, not a curated record. Lineage: Eukaryota; Metazoa; Chordata; Actinopteri; Pleuronectiformes; Scophthalmidae. The transcript is spliced from 3 exons.